GAGCGAGUACGAGACAGCUAUCGUAAGAAAGAAGUCUUUUCGAUUGUGUUUCAGCAAACAUAAAAUUAUUUCUUUUAUAAUUCUUUUUUUUUGUUUUAUUCACUCUACAAAUUCAAAAAUUCACGACAAUAUUAUAAUUUUUUUUUUGAAAUAUUAUAAUUUAAUUCAAAUAUCAUCAUCUUUACCAUGUAUUCACAAAAUAGCAUUAUUUUAAUAUCAUUAAUCAAAAUUAAUAACCAACUUCAAAAUUUAAAAAUACUAGUUUUAAAUGCAUUAACAAUAAUUUAUACAUCUUUUUAUCUCGUUUUACACAUACAAACCAUUUUUCUUGAUUAUCUUCUCUCAUUUUAUCUUGAAAAUUCAAAAUUUUAGAUUUUAAGAUUACGUGUUCACAAAAAAUAUAUUUAAGUUUGAGAUACUUGGUCAAUAAGGAAUAGGUAUUUAUCAUUAGAAGUUAUGAAUGUUAGAGAAAAUAAAUACAAACUCUCACCGAAUUUAUGUAUGAUAUAUGGAUAUUUUCAGAUUUGUUUAGCAUAGAAAAUUUCUUCGAAAAUUCGUUUCAUCGAAAAAAUUUGUAAAAGAAUCAUCUAGUCAAUGCAUAUGUUUUUUUUUUUUUGCAAUUGACUAUUUUGUGAGUUUUCCUAAAAAAAACGU
Molecule: long non-coding RNA, 654 nt
Filed under: Brassica napus (rape)
Lineage: Eukaryota; Viridiplantae; Streptophyta; Magnoliopsida; Brassicales; Brassicaceae
Description: long non-coding RNA (BNAP_LNC005758)
Source: RNAcentral